RNAcentral lists this ribosomal RNA (498 nucleotides) under uncultured Desulfobulbus sp. RNAcentral describes it as "bacterial SSU rRNA". It matches the Rfam family "Bacterial small subunit ribosomal RNA", at positions 903 to 1382 of the family's 1533-position model. Lineage: Bacteria; Pseudomonadati; Thermodesulfobacteriota; Desulfobulbia; Desulfobulbales; Desulfobulbaceae. The record is from RNAcentral.
UCAACGAAACUACGAAAGGAAGUUGACGGGGCCCGCACAAGCGGUGGAGUAUGUGGUUUAAUUCGAUGCAACGCGAAGAACCUUACCUGGUCUUGACAUCCCGGAGACCCUUAGGAAACUAGGGGUGCUUCCAUCUGGAAGAAUCUGGAGACAGGUGCUGCAUGGCUGUCGUCAGCUCGUGUCGUGAGAUGUUGGGUUAAGUCCCGCAACGAGCGCAACCCUUGCCUUUAGUUGCCAGCAGUUCGGCUGGGCACUCUAAAGGGACUGCCGGUGUUAAACCGGAGGAAGGUGGGGAUGACGUCAAGUCCUCAUGGCCUUUAUGACCAGGGCUACACACGUACUACAAUGGCCGAUACAAAGGGCAGCGACACUGCGAGGUGAAGCCAAUCCCGUAAAAUCGGUCUCAGUCCGGAUUGGAGUCUGCAACUCGACUCCAUGAAGUUGGAAUCGCUAGUAAUCGUGGAUCAGCAUGCCACGGUGAAUACGUUCCCGGGCCUU